Molecule: ribosomal RNA, 465 nt
Filed under: uncultured bacterium
Lineage: Bacteria
Description: partial 16S ribosomal RNA
Rfam family: Bacterial small subunit ribosomal RNA
Source: RNAcentral
GACGAACGCUGGCGGCGUGCUUAACACAUGCCAGUCGAACGGUAAGGCCCCUUCGGGGGUACACGCGUGGCUGGCGGAUGGGUAACACACGAGCAACUUGCCCUUGCCUCUGGUAUGACAGUUGUCAACAACCGCUAAUACUUGCCAUUCAUCGUCUCCUUCCUGAGGGUUGGUGGUAAGCACCGGCGGUCGGGGAUGGGCUCGCGGCCUAUCAGCUUGUUGGUGGGGUAAUGGCUUACCAAGGCUUCGACGGGUAGCCGGCCUGAGAGGGCGACCGGCCACACUGGGACUGAGAUACGGCCCAGACUCCUACGGGAGGCAGCAGUGGGGAAUAUUGCACAAUGGGCGGAAGCCUGAUGCAGCAACGCCGCGUGCGGGAUGACGGCCUUCGGGUUGUAAACCGCUUUCAGUAGGGACGAAGGGUGAGUGACGGUACCGACAGAAGAAGCACCGGCUAACUACGUG